GAUGAACGCUGGCGGCGUGCCUAAUACAUGCAAGUCGAGCGAACGGACGAGAAUCUUGCUUCUCUGAUGUUAGCGGCGGACGGGUGAGUAACACGUGGAUAACCUACCUAUAAGACUUGUAUAACUUCGGGAAACCGGAGCUAAUACCGGAUGAUAUUUUGAACCGCAUGGUUCAAAAGUGAAAGACGGUCUUGCUGUCACUUAUAGAUGGAUCCGCGCUGCAUUAGCUAGUUGUUAAGGUAACGGCUUACCAAGGCAACGAUGCAUAGCCGACAUGAGAGGGGGAUAGGCCAAACUGGAACUGAGACACGGUCAAGACUACUACGGGAGGCAGAAGUAGGGAAGAUUCCGCAAUGGGCGAAAGCAUGACGGAGCAACGCCGCGUGAGUGAUGAAGGUCUUCGGAUCGUAAAACUCUGUUAUUAGGGAAGAACAUAUGUGUAAGUAACUGUGCACAUCUUGACGGUACCUAAUCAGAAAGCCACGGCUAACUACGUG
RNAcentral lists this ribosomal RNA (497 nucleotides) under uncultured bacterium. RNAcentral's name for it is "partial 16S ribosomal RNA". It matches the Rfam family "Bacterial small subunit ribosomal RNA", at positions 28 to 507 of the family's 1533-position model. The record is from RNAcentral.